CCGCAUAAGCGCACAGCAUCGCAUGAUGCAGUGUGAAAAACUCCGGUGGUAUAAGAUGGACCCGCGUUGGAUUAGCUAGUUGGUGAGGUAACGGCCCACCAAGGCGACGAUCCAUAGCCGACCUGAGAGGGUGACCGGCCACAUUGGGACUGAGACACGGCCCAAACUCCUACGGGAGGCAGCAGUGGGGAAUAUUGCACAAUGGGCGAAAGCCUGAUGCAGCGACGCCGCGUGAGCGAAGAAGUAUUUCGGUAUGUAAAGCUCUAUCAGCAGGGAAGAUAAUGACGGUACCUGACUAAGAAGCACCGGCUAAAUACGUGCCAGCAGCCGCGGUAAUACGUAUGGUGCAAGCGUUAUCCGGAUUUACUGGGUGUAAAGGGAGCGCAGGCGGUGCGGCAAGUCUGAUGUGAAAGCCCGGGGCUCAACCCCGGUACUGCAUUGGAAACUGUCGUACUAGAGUGUCGGAGGGGUAAGCGGAAUUCCUAGUGUAGCGGUGAAAUGCGUAGAUAUUAGGAGGAACACCAGUGGCGAAGGCGGCUUACUGGACGAUAACUGACGCUGAGGCUCGAAAGCGUGGGGAGCAAACAGGAUUAGAUACCCUGGUAGUCCACGCCGU
This 616-nucleotide ribosomal RNA is filed under the name uncultured bacterium. RNAcentral's name for it is "bacterial SSU rRNA". It matches the Rfam family "Bacterial small subunit ribosomal RNA", at positions 169 to 803 of the family's 1533-position model. The record is from RNAcentral.